GACGAACGCUGGCGGCGUGCUUAACACAUGCAAGUCGAACGGAAAGGCCCUGCUUUUGUGGGUUGCUCGAGUGGCGAACGCGUGAGUAACACGUGAGUAACCUGCCCUUGACUUUGGGAUAACUUCAGGAAACUGGGGCUAAUACCGGAUAUGAUCUCCUGCUGCAUGUUGGGGGUUGGAAAAUUUCGGCGUUUGGGGAUGGACUCGCGGGUUAUCAGCUUGUUGGUGUGGUAGUUGCUUACCACGGCUUUGACGGGUAGCCGGCAUGAGAGGGUGACCGGGGACAUUGGGACUACGAGACGGACCAGAAGGCUAUGGGAGGCAGCAGUCGAGAACAUGGCGCAACGAGGCGACGCCUGAUGCAGAAACGCUGGGUGCGUGAUAACGGCUUACGGGUUGUAAACCGAUUUCGAAGGUGACGAAGCGUGAGCGACGGUAAUGGGUAAAGAAGCCACGGCUAACUACGUG
This 468-nucleotide ribosomal RNA is filed under the name uncultured bacterium. RNAcentral's name for it is "partial 16S ribosomal RNA". It matches the Rfam family "Bacterial small subunit ribosomal RNA", at positions 28 to 507 of the family's 1533-position model. The record is from RNAcentral.